Molecule: long non-coding RNA, 3592 nt
Organism: Oreochromis aureus
Lineage: Eukaryota; Metazoa; Chordata; Actinopteri; Cichliformes; Cichlidae
Source: Ensembl
UUUGAAGCAAACGUAAGGCUCACUGUGCAGCUGUGGCACGGAGCUCUGCAGAAACGAAACUUACCGGCCCAGCUGAGCGGAGCGCGUGAAGCUGCUGACGCCUCGGUGUGAGUUUGCGGGAACAGCGCGUGCCUUCCGUUUGGCGCUCCAGCAGAAAUGUUGGUGGUCUCAGUCAAGUCCCGCUCACUUCCCGUCCCACAUUAAAAACACUUUCCGCCGUCAGUGUCAGUGUCAGUCUGUCUGUGUGUCUGAGUUUGUGUGUCCUCGCGCUGCAGACAGCUCGUGCAGCACACCUGGAGAAAACUGAUCUGUAUUUAAAUGAUGGCGGGUGUCACGUGGAUCCUGACCGUUCUGUGUGCUGCGGGAUGUCACCUGUCUUCAGCCUCACCUGUUCACAGCUCCACCCUGGUGGUGCCCGUGGGCCACAACGUCUUUCUGCUCUGCAACGUGACGCCCAGCGAUGAGAUCACCUGGUACCUGCUGCGCUCAGAGCAGCUGCUGCCUCUGUUAACUGUUAAAAAGGGGAAGUUUGUUGACACCACUGACAAUCACACAAACAACCAUCGGAUGAACUGUAACGGGACGCUGCAGACCGGCCUGGUCAGCCUGGAGAUCCAGGAGGUGGAGGAGGAGGAUGCUGGGCUGUACUUCUGCAUCGGGAGGUUUGCAGCUAAGAUGCACGUUAACAGAGGAAUUCAGCUGACUGUGGACGGUAAGACGGGCAGAUGUUUCUACUGUCGGCUCGAGCUGAGCUGUGCUCAGAAACUUUGUUGAAGAUGAAGAUUUUUAAACAGCAAGAACAUUUCAUGAUACACGAUGAAGAUCUAAGAUUUCCUUUUUAAAAUGUUUGUGUUGUUCUGCCGGCUGGUCCAGGCUGUCAGGCUUGGUCAGGAGGCUGAAAGAUUUAAAAUCAUUUUCUGGAUUUUCUAAAACAGUUUUGAGAGUAUUUGAUCAUAAAUGUUUACAUGUUGAGUUGAGGAUGACUAUGGAAACAGAUCAGUGGAACAUGAAAGUGAGCGCUGGGAGCGAUAUUUGUAAAAGUGAGGCAGUGACCGUGGAUUCUUUCUUUAAAAUGAUUUAUGAACACUUCUCAGGAAUCAGAUGUUCUGUAUGACUUCUGGCUCAGAGGAGCAGAUACCAAGCGUGGACCUGUAGGUGGCGCCAGUCAGUAAGCGUGACCUCCUGAUCUCUCAUAGAGCUUCAGCUGGAUGUCGUGUUUCUGUCUGCAGCACGUGCAGCUGUCCGGCUGCGUUCACAGCUGGGGAUUAGAUCACAAACUUUUUUUGUCUUCACUGAGUUUUUCCUUCAGUCGGCGUCUCUGUGUCUCAUUCACUUGUUAGGCUACAGCGAGCUUCAGUUCUUGGCAUCGAUCCUCCGGGUCUGUGGAUCUCUGCUGCAGACCUGAGUGAAGUUGGCCCCCACCUUCUACAGACCAAACAAAAUUGAUGUGAAACAUGUGCGCUACAUUUGUGCUGAUUUUGUUUUAAAGACAGUAACAGAAGUUUCUAGGUUCAUCCAAAGUCACUCAGGCCGUUUCUUUACUGUGAAAAUGCUGUGAAACAUAAACCAGUGCUGGAUACUUUUUAUCAUGAUCACACUCUGUAAAAGUAAAAAACGGGGUUAACUUAAAAUAUUUUUAAUAGUUCCAAUAAACUACAGUAUGCAUUCAGAGAAAAACAAACCAUCAGAACAAUGCUGGCACGUUUCCUCUCAGAGCAGCUAAAGACAUGAAACUGUCGAGUCUCAAGUUUACAAUAAAUCCAUGAAUAAAAGCUCGUUCACAAACACAAACGUUUGACUUCAAUUUUGUUUGAUCUGAAGAAGGUGGGGGACCCCCUAUGGGCAGAAAUUUGUGCCAUCAGAAACUGAAUUUGAAUAAGUUAAAUUUGAAUUUGAAUUACUCGGAUUGAAUCUGAAUUGUAACUUGAAUGAAAGCUUUUGAAAACUGAAUUUGAAUUAGUUUAAUUUGAAAUUGAAUUUAUGGUUUGAAAAUGAAUUGAUUUGCUUUGAAACUGCAUUUUAUCCUUUAAAAAUUCAGCUCUCGAAUAAUUUCAGAUUCACUUCUCACCAUUCAGUUUCAGUUCUACAAUUCAAUUUCAGUUCCAAAAUUCAGUUUUUUGGGACUUACAUCCGGUUCCGGUUCAAGCGCAGAUUAAUAGAACUACAGACUGAUAGCGUUACUGACGGGAAUCUACAGCGUCUUGGGCUGAAUUAAGACUUCAGAAGUCAUUCGUCAUGUCGAAUGACCAGCGGAUAAACUCUCAGGUGUUUUGUGCCAGAAAUGGAGUGUCCACUGAAGACUGAAGAUACUGAAUCUCUACGCUGUGCCAUUGAUCCCUCCUGUGCCUUCAUCUAGACAAGAGACAUUAACUUAACCACUCUCACAUGCUCUGUACCUACAUCACCUUCCCUGACAGUCGUAGCUUGGCUCAUCUGAGGGUGAAAUUAUAAGAAUGUGUUAUUUUGCAAAGUGCUCUCUAGGGUUCCUAAAUAAAAUAUGGCAUUGAGGUCAUUUCUUUUGAAUUAAUCCCUUCUUCUGAAAUAUAAGAACCUCUCCUGGUUUAAAUGGCACUUUCUGUUCCUUACUUCCUGUUCCAUUCCCAACCCCAAAUAGAUGCUGACAAGCUGACACAGUAAUAUGGAAGAGGGAGAGAAGCUGGAAAGGACUACUACAAAUAAACCUAAUGCCUAACAAUGAAAAAUGUAAAAUAAGAACAACAAUAAUAAUAAAGAUAAAAGAUGAAGUAACAAGUUAUUCGUUUUUUUGUUUAUUCCAAAUGAUCAUCCAGAUGUCUGUGACAUGUGAUGACAAACACCAUAAUGCAAGGCCUUUGUCAUCACAUGCUUAAACUCAUCAUAUAUUUUUGAAUAUGCUGAACUGGCAGUCAGACAUGCUGUAACUGUGGGGUAGAAAACUGCAUGAACACCAUACGGCAGGAGUCUCAAACUCCAGUUAUCGAGGGCAUGGAAAAGUUGCAUGACACCAGCCUUCGAGGACUGGAGUUUGAGACCCCUGUCAUAUUCCAUAUGACAGGUUUUGGUUGAACUUCAUGAAGACUCUGAAGUUUCUCUUCUCUUCUGGCAGGACAGGAAUGUCGCCUUGUCCUGUGAGCCACCGUAAGGAUGUAAUUAGAGUAGAACUGGACUGUCACCGGCCUCAGGCUCUUCACCUUUUCAAAGACAAAGCAGUCAUUUAGAUAAAAUAUUAGAUAUUGUUUACCUGUAAAUGCACAAAGAGAAUUUAGAAAUGUAAUUAUUGUCAAGAGUGAAAAAGCACUGAUAGUGUAAUUUACAGCUGUGGCCAAACGUUUAGAGAAUGAGAAGUGUUGUUUAUUUACAAAGUUUGCUGUUUCAGUGAUAGUUGUAUAUCAUAUCAUAUCACUUCAAACAGAGGUGAUCCAGUAAUGCUGCACUAAUGAAUUAGACUAACUAUUCACUUUAGCUAAAGUUAUUAAGUUAGCUAAAGAGUUGGGAUGCUGUGUAAGACAUAAAUAAAGCUAAAAUACAAAGGUUUGGACACUGUUUUGCAUGUUUCCUUACUGUAGGGGUCUCUGCAAGCAUACAGGGCUCUGACAGGGUACAAGAUGACAAC